This 301-nucleotide ribosomal RNA is filed under the name uncultured bacterium. Its description in RNAcentral is "partial 16S ribosomal RNA". It matches the Rfam family "Bacterial small subunit ribosomal RNA", at positions 509 to 809 of the family's 1533-position model. The record is from RNAcentral.
CAGCAGCCGCGGUAAAACGUAGGUGGCAAGCGUCGUCCGGAAUUAUUGGGCGUAAAGGGCUCGCAGGCGGUUUCUUAAGUCUGAUGUGAAAGCCCCCGGCUCAACCGGGGAGGAUCAUUGGAAACUGGGAAACUUGAGUGCAGAAGAGGAGAGUGGAAUUCCACGUGUAGCGGUGAAAUGCGUAGAGAUGUGGAGGAACACCAGUGGCGAAGGCGACUCUCUGGUCUGUAACUGACGCUGAGGAGCGAAAGCGUGGGGAGCGAACAGGAUUAGAUACCCCUGUAGUCCCUGUCUCUUAUAA